AUCACCUGGGCACCUUGUUAAAAUGCAGACUCUUUUUAGUAGAUCUGGAGUGGGUCCCAGUAUUCUGCAUUUCUAACAAGUUCCCACAUGAUGCUGA
This 97-nucleotide microRNA precursor is filed under the name Canis lupus familiaris (dog). RNAcentral's name for it is "mir-544 microRNA precursor family". It matches the Rfam family "mir-544 microRNA precursor family". RNAcentral also lists the same sequence under 1 other name. Lineage: Eukaryota; Metazoa; Chordata; Mammalia; Carnivora; Canidae. The record is from Rfam by way of RNAcentral.